GAGUUUGAACCUGGCUCAGGAUGAACGCUGGCGGCGUGCCUAAUACAUGCAAGUCGAGCGAACCACUUCGGUGGUGAGCGGCGAACGGGUGAGUAACACGUAGGUGAUCUGCCCAUCAGACGGGGACAACGAUUGGAAACGAUCGCUAAUACCGGAUAGGACGAAAGUUUAAAGGUGCUUCUGGCACCGCUGAUGGAUGAGCCUGCGGCGCAUUAGCUAGUUGGUAGGGUAAAGGCCUACCAAGGCGACGAUGCGUAGCCGACCUGAGAGGGUGAACGGCCACACUGGGACUGAGACACGGCCCAGACUCCUACGGGAGGCAGCAGUAGGGAAUCUUCGGCAAUGGGCGAAAGCCUGACCGAGCAACGCCGCGUGAAUGAUGAAGGCCUUCGGGUUGUAAAAUUCUGUUAUAAGGGAAGAACGACUUUAGUAGGAAAUGGCUAGAGUGUGACGAUACCUUAUGAGAAAGCCACGGCUAACUACGUGCCAGCAGCCGCGGUAAUACGUAGGUGGCGAGCGUUAUCCGGAAUUAUUGGGCGUAAAGAGCGCGCAGGUGGUUGAUUAAGUCUGAUGUGAAAGCCCACGGCUUAACCGUGGAGGGUCAUUGGAAACUGGUCGACUUGAGUGCAGAAGAGGGAAGUGGAAUUCCAUGUGUAGCGGUGAAAUGCGUAGAGAUAUGGAGGA
This 684-nucleotide ribosomal RNA is filed under the name uncultured bacterium. Its description in RNAcentral is "bacterial SSU rRNA". It matches the Rfam family "Bacterial small subunit ribosomal RNA", at positions 9 to 705 of the family's 1533-position model. The record is from RNAcentral.